GGAUGCGAUCAUACCAGCACUAAAGCACCGGAUCCCAUCAGAACUCCGAAGUUAAGCGUGCGUGGGAGAGAGUAGUACUAGGAUGGGUGACCUCUUGGGAAGUCCUCGUGUUGCAUUCC
This 119-nucleotide ribosomal RNA is filed under the name Triticum aestivum (bread wheat). Lineage: Eukaryota; Viridiplantae; Streptophyta; Magnoliopsida; Poales; Poaceae. The record is from RNAcentral.